GAUGAACGCUGGCGGCGUGCCUAAUACAUGCAAGUCGAGCGAACAGACGAGGAGCUUGCUCCUCUGACGUUAGCGGCGGACGGGUGAGUAACACGUGGAUAACCUACCUAUAAGACUGGGAUAACUUCGGGAAACCGGAGCUAAUACCGGAUAAUAUAUUGAACCGCAUGGUUCAAUAGUGAAAGACGGUUUUGCUGUCACUUAUAGAUGGAUCCGCGCCGCAUUAGCUAGUUGGUAAGGUAAAGGCUUACCAAGGCAACGAUGCGUAGCCGACCUGAGAGGGUGAUCGGCCACACUGGACCUGAGACACGCUCCAGACUCCUACGGGAGGCAGCAGUAGGGAAUCUUCCGCAAUGGGCGAAAGCUUGACGGAGCAACGCCGCGUGAGUGAUGAAGGUCUUCGGAUCGUAAAACUCUGUUAUUAGGGAAGAACAAAUGUGUAAGUAACUAUGCACGUCUUGACGGUACCUAAUCAGAAAGCCACGGCUAACUACGUG
RNAcentral lists this ribosomal RNA (497 nucleotides) under uncultured bacterium. RNAcentral's name for it is "partial 16S ribosomal RNA". It matches the Rfam family "Bacterial small subunit ribosomal RNA", at positions 28 to 507 of the family's 1533-position model. The record is from RNAcentral.